RNAcentral lists this ribosomal RNA (484 nucleotides) under uncultured bacterium. RNAcentral describes it as "partial 16S ribosomal RNA". It matches the Rfam family "Bacterial small subunit ribosomal RNA", at positions 30 to 507 of the family's 1533-position model. The record is from RNAcentral.
AUUGAACGCUGGCGGCAGGCCUAACACAUGCAAGUCGAGCGGAUGAAGGGAGCUUGCUCCUGGAUUCAGCGGCGGACGGGUGAGUAAUGCCUAGGAAUCUGCCUGGUAGUGGGGGAUAACGUCCGGAAACGGGCGCUAAUACCGCAUACGUCCUGAGGGAGAAAGUGGGGGAUCUUCGGACCUCACGCUAUCAGAUGAGCCUAGGUCGGAUUUGCUAGUUGGUGGGGUAAAGGCCUACCAAGCCGACGAUCCGUAACUGGUCUGAGAGGAUGAUCAGUCACACUGGAAGUGAGACACGGUCCAGACUCCUACGGGAGGCAGCAGUGGGGAAUAUUGGACAAUGGGGGAAAGCAUGAUACAGCCAGGCCGCGUGUGUGAAGAAGGUCUUCGGAUUGUAAAGCACUUUAAGUUGGGAGGAAGGGCAGUAAGUUAAUACCUUGCUGAUUUGACGUUACCAACAGAAUAAGCACCGGCUAACUACGUG